Molecule: ribosomal RNA, 213 nt
Filed under: Triticum aestivum (bread wheat)
Lineage: Eukaryota; Viridiplantae; Streptophyta; Magnoliopsida; Poales; Poaceae
Description: partial small subunit ribosomal RNA
Source: RNAcentral
AUGGAUGCUGACCACGGUGAACUUCCAAUCACAACUGGAGAUGGAAGAACCACUGUCACGGCCCGCUUUAUAAAGGGAGUUGACAAAAGGGCCACCAUCACUAAAGGCUGGAGCGACUUCUUCCGUUGGACCCACAUGAACGAAGGGCAAGCAUAUGCUUUCGGCUUCAAAUGCACUUCCAAGGGAUUGCACCUGAUUGUCUACUCAAUAUAA